AGCAGCCGCGGUAAUUCCAGCUCCAAUAGCGUAUAUUAAAGUUGUUGCAGUUAAAAAGCUCGUAGUUGAAUUUCGGGGUCAGUAGAUUGGUCGUGCCACUGGUAUGUACUGGUCUUACUGGCUCCUCCUUCCUGAUGAACCGUAAUGCCAUUAAUUUGGUGUUGCGGGGAGACUGGACUGUUACUUUGAAAAAAUUAGAGUGUUUAAAGCAGGCUAACGCUUGAAUACAUUAGCAUGGAAUAAUGAAAUAGGACGUUCGAUCUUAUUUUGUUGGUUUCUAGGAUUGACGUAAUGAUUAAUAGGGAUAGUUGGGGGCAUUAGUAUUCAAUUGUCAGAGGUGAAAUUCUUGGAUUUAUUGAAGACUAACUACUGCGAAAGCAUUUGCCAAGGAUGUUUUCAUUAAUCAAGAACGAAAGUUAGGGGGUCGAAGACGAUCAGAUACCGUCGUAGUCUUAACCAUAAACUAUGCCGACUAGGGAUCGGAUGAUGUUAAUUUUUUAAUGACUCAUUCGGCGCCUUA
This 520-nucleotide ribosomal RNA is filed under the name uncultured Glomus. Its description in RNAcentral is "SSU rRNA". It matches the Rfam family "Eukaryotic small subunit ribosomal RNA", at positions 569 to 1090 of the family's 1831-position model. Lineage: Eukaryota; Fungi; Glomeromycota; Glomeromycetes; Glomerales; Glomeraceae. The record is from RNAcentral.